This 498-nucleotide ribosomal RNA is filed under the name uncultured bacterium. RNAcentral's name for it is "partial 16S ribosomal RNA". It matches the Rfam family "Bacterial small subunit ribosomal RNA", at positions 30 to 523 of the family's 1533-position model. The record is from RNAcentral.
AUUGAACGCUGGCGGCAUGCCUUACACAUGCAAGUCGAACGGUAACAGGUCUUCGGAUGCUGACGAGUGGCGAACGGGUGAGUAAUACAUCGGAACGUGCCCGAUCGUGGGGGAUAACGCAGCGAAAGCUGUGCUAAUACCGCGUACGAUCUACGGAUGAAAGCGGGGGAUCGCAAGACCUCGCGCGGACGGAGCGGCCGAUGGCAGAUUAGGUAGUUGGUGGGGUAAAGGCUCACCAAGCCUGCGAUCUGUAGCUGGUCUGAGAGGACGACCAGCCACACUGGGACUGAGACACGGCCCAGACUCCUACGGGAGGCAGCAGUGGGGAAUUUUGGACAAUGGGCGCAAGCCUGAUCCAGCCAUGCCGCGUGCAGGAUGAAGGCCUUCGGGUUGUAAACUGCUUUUGUACGGAACGAAAAGACUCUUUCUAAUAAAGAGGGUUCAUGACGGUACCGUAAGAAUAAGCACCGGCUAACUACGUGCCAGCCGCCGCCGUAA